This 52-nucleotide transfer RNA is filed under the name Myodes glareolus (Bank vole). RNAcentral's name for it is "partial tRNA-Asn". It matches the Rfam family "tRNA", at positions 21 to 71 of the family's 71-position model. Rfam says of the family: Transfer RNA (tRNA) molecules are approximately 80 nucleotides in length. Their secondary structure includes four short double-helical elements and three loops (D, anti-codon, and T loops). Lineage: Eukaryota; Metazoa; Chordata; Mammalia; Rodentia; Cricetidae. The record is from RNAcentral.
GGGUGUUUAGCUGUUAACUAAAAAUUUAUAGGUUUGAGUCCUAUCAAUCUAG